AGCAAAGCGGGAAAAGCUCAAAUUUAAAAUCUGGUGGCCUUUGGUCAUCCGAGUUGUAAUCUAGAGAAGUGUUACCCGCGUCGGACCGUGUACAAGUCUCCUGGAAUGGAGCGUCAUAGAGGGUGAGAAUCCCGUCUUUGACACGGACUACCGAGGCUUUGUGGUGCGCUCUCAAAGAGUCGAGUUGUUUGGGAAUGCAGCUCAAAAUGGGUGGUAAAUUCCAUCUAAAGCUAAAUAUUGGCGAGAGACCGAUAGCGAACAAGUACCGUGAGGGAAAGAUGAAAAGAACUUUGGAAAGAGAGUUAAACAGUACGUGAAAUUGCUGAAAGGGAAACGCUUGAAGUCAGUCGCGUUGGCCGGAAAUCAGCCUUCCUUUUGGUUGGUGUACUUUCUGGUUGACGGGCCAGCAUCAGUUUUGACCGAUGGAUAAAGUUGUAGGGAAUGUGGCAUCUUCGGGUGUGUUAUAGCCUUGCUUCGUAUACAUCGGUUGGGACUGAGGAACUCAGCACGCCGAAAGGCCGGGGUUCGCCCACGAUCGUGCUUAGGAUGCUGGCAUAAUGGCUUUAAUCGACCCGUCUUGAAACACGGACCAAGGAGUCUAACAUGCCUGCGAGUGUUUGGGUGGAAAACCCGAGCGCGUAAUGAAAGUGAAAGUCGAGAUCCUUGUCAUGGGGAGCAUCGACGCCCGGACCAGACGUUUUCUGACGGUUCUGCGGUAGAGCAUGUAUGUUGGGACCCGAAAGAUGGUGAACUAUGCCUGAAUAGGGUGAAGCCAGAGGAAACUCUGGUGGAGGCUCGUAGCGAUUCUGACGUGCAAAUCGAUCGUCAAAUUUGGGUAUAGGGGCGAAAAGACUAAUCGAACCCAU
This 866-nucleotide ribosomal RNA is filed under the name Ephemerocybe subpurpurea. RNAcentral's name for it is "LSU rRNA". It matches the Rfam family "Eukaryotic large subunit ribosomal RNA", at positions 92 to 943 of the family's 3401-position model. Lineage: Eukaryota; Fungi; Basidiomycota; Agaricomycetes; Agaricales; Psathyrellaceae. The record is from RNAcentral.